UGGGGAAUUUUGGACAAUGGGCGCAAGCCUGAUCCAGCCAUGCCGCGUGCGGGAAGAAGGCCUUCGGGUUGUAAACCGCUUUUGUCAGGGAAGAAAUCUUCUGAGUUAAUACCUCGGGAGGAUGACGGUACCUGAAGAAUAAGCACCGGCUAACUACGUGCCAGCAGCCGCGGUAAUACGUAGGGUGCAAGCGUUAAUCGGAAUUACUGGGCGUAAAGCGUGCGCAGGCGGUUUUGUAAGACAGAGGUGAAAUCCCCGGGCUCAACCUGGGAACUGCCUUUGUGACUGCAAGGCUUGAGUGCGGCAGAGGGGGAUGGAAUUCCGCGUGUAGCAGUGAAAUGCGUAGAUAUGCGGAGGAACACCGAUGGCGAAGGCAAUCCCCUGGGCCUGCACUGACGCUCAUGCACGAAAGCGUGGGGAGCAAACAGGAUUAGAUACCCUGGUAGUCCACGCCCUAAACGGUGUCAACUGGUUGUUGGGAAGGUUCCUUCUCAGUAACGUAGCUAACGC
Molecule: ribosomal RNA, 510 nt
Filed under: uncultured bacterium
Lineage: Bacteria
Description: partial 16S ribosomal RNA
Rfam family: Bacterial small subunit ribosomal RNA
Source: RNAcentral